RNAcentral lists this long non-coding RNA (287 nucleotides) under Phoenix dactylifera (date palm). Its description in RNAcentral is "long non-coding RNA (PDAC_LNC021319)". The record is from RNAcentral. Lineage: Eukaryota; Viridiplantae; Streptophyta; Magnoliopsida; Arecales; Arecaceae.
UAUAAUAUUUUAUACUUUUAUUAUUGUAUUAUACUAUAAAUAUAAUAUAUAUUACAUUAUAUCAUAAUACAUCAAUAUGUUAUGUUAAAUAAUUUAAUAUUAUGUUAUAUUACCAAAUAUUAUUUUACUCUAAUAAUUAUAUUACUAUUAUGCGAUAUUAACAUAAAAUUUUUAUAUUACAAUAUUAUACUAUAUCGUAUAUUUAUGUAUUAAUUUAUGUUAUGUUUUAUUAUGUUCUGUUGUAUAAUACUAUGCAAUGUCCUUUAUGGUAAUUUUGUCAUACAAAA